GUGUCAGCCGCCGCGGUAAUACAGAGGCCUCGAGCGUUAGGCGGAAUCACUGGGCUUAAAGCGUGUGUAGGCGGACUUCUAAGUACCUUGUGAAAUCCCACGGCUCAACCGUGGAACUGCUUGGUAUACUGGUUGUCUUGAGCCAUCUAGGGGCUACCGGAACAAGUGGUGGAGCGGUGAAAUGCGUAGAUAUCACUUGGAACGCCAACGGUGAAAACAGGUAGCUGGGGAUGUGCUGACGCUGAGACACGAAAGCCAGGGGAGCGAACGGGAUUAGAAACCCGCGUAGUCC
RNAcentral lists this ribosomal RNA (292 nucleotides) under uncultured bacterium. RNAcentral's name for it is "partial 16S ribosomal RNA". It matches the Rfam family "Bacterial small subunit ribosomal RNA", at positions 505 to 796 of the family's 1533-position model. The record is from RNAcentral.